GAGCUUAGGAUAAUUACUUAGACCAA
Molecule: transfer RNA, 26 nt
Filed under: Limia melanogaster (blackbelly limia)
Lineage: Eukaryota; Metazoa; Chordata; Actinopteri; Cyprinodontiformes; Poeciliidae
Description: partial tRNA-Trp
Source: RNAcentral